This 253-nucleotide ribosomal RNA is filed under the name uncultured bacterium. RNAcentral's name for it is "partial 16S ribosomal RNA". It matches the Rfam family "Bacterial small subunit ribosomal RNA", at positions 524 to 776 of the family's 1533-position model. The record is from RNAcentral.
AACGUAGGAGGCAAGCGUUAUCCGGAUUUACUGGGCGUAAAGCGUGUGCAGGCGGUUGUCCAAGGCGGGUAUGAAAGCGCUCCGCUUAACGGGGCGAGGCUAGACGAGACUGGGCGACUAGAAUCAGACAGAGGCAAGCGGAAUUCCCGGUGUAGAGGUGAAAUUCGUAGAUAUCGGGAGGAACACCGGUGGCGAAGGCGGCGACCUGGUUCGAUACUGACACUGAGGUGCGAAAGCGUGGGGAGCGAACAGG